AAGAAGAAAACAAAAAGCUGAAGGCUGCUCAUUUGUGCCAAUAAAGGCAUCAGAAUUGCCUUGAAUACGGAUCUUCUUUUUCAGCCAAAAAUGCCCUCCAGAAUCCUACUUCAAGUCCAAAUAUGAAAGUUACAAUUGGAAUUCAAAAUCCCGUUUAGAUCUCAGUCUUUUUUAGAAGAAAAAUCAUAAAAGAAAUAAAAAAAUAUAGAAAACUGAAAACUCAAAAAAAACUUUACUGUUCCAUUAAAAUUGGAAGUUGAUUUCAAUUUCUGGUUACUGAUUAACCUUCUGCAAUUGUUACUUCUGUCGAUUGAAGGUACAGAAUCAUUUCGAGAUGAAAUUAGUGUUCUAAAUCAGGUUUGAGUGUUUUUUUCUGGUUGUCUCUGCAUUGACAUUCAUUUUUAGGUCGUUAGCUGCUGUGUGGAGUUCAUUUGCUGGUUUUCCUUUUGAUUUGAAUCACUCCUGAACUGCUGGUCGUUGCUGUUGAAUCUGCUGCUAUGUUGAAUAGGUGUUUUACAUGAAGCUGACCUCUUUUUCUUCUUCUUUUAAACGUUGAAUACCAGGUACACAUUUUGAAUCACCUCGAUGUAACUUGAAUUGAUGUUGAAUUGGAAGUUUUCACCAGACCUGCAUUUGGGUGUUAUCUGUUGUCUCUGAUUCACUAAAUGUUAAAUGAAGUAGAAGUAGUUGAUAUUAGCUCUGUUUUGUAUUUUAUUGAAUAAUAUAAAUGUGAUUGUGUAAUUGGAACUACCUUAGGCUGCUUUGGACUGUGUCAAUUAUUGUUGGUAACAGACUGUUAUAUCAUCCAGGAAACAUAUGUUCAGUAGCUAGUCGAACCACUAAUUGUCAUUAGCUAUAAUUAGUUUAGUGUGUUUGUUCAGUUUAAACUUUUAAAGUUAGAAAAUAACUCUAGUUAGCAUUCUCCUUUUGAAGCUAUGAAAUUGUGCUUGCAUCAAUGGUUGUUGACUGAAUUUGUAAUAACAUGCACGUAAAUGUCGAGCUAGGACAUUUUUGUAUGGGACUAGUUAACAAAUAUCUAAUGAACAGUUAAUUGAUUCAUGCUUUCCUAGUCGAAUUCAAAACUUGUGGGUGUUUAGGUCGUUGAUUAACGUUGGAAUUGAUAAAUCAUAGUUGAUAUUGCUAAUUGUUGGUGGGAAGCAUUACUGAAAUCAAGCACGAUUAGUUUGUCUUUUUUCACGUAAAAAGUUGAACAUAGUUAUUCUGCCCAGCUAAUGUAAAUUGCAUUUUUUUAGUUUGAAACUCUGUGAUUUCAAUUGUCCUUGUCAAUUAGUAGAUAAUAGUUAGCAUCCAAUUAAAUCGUGGGUCUGUUAGCUUCAAGGGAUCGAUCAUUUGAUCUCCCUAGGCAGCCUAUUUUGCUUUGUCUUUUCGGGCUUCCUCAAGGCCCACUCGCUGCAAUUAAUUCACAUACAGAACCAUUUGGUUCAUAAGUUGGGACUGUUUCAGAGAUUUCAAUUCAAGAUUUAGUAUAAUGUAAGUUUGGGCUUUGAGUUAGGUAGAGGGUUCAAAUUAAGGGGCUCCCUUCUUGUUUGAAUCCGGACUUAAGCUCGAGGCCCGAAGCUUAUAAUAUUGAUCGACUAGGAUUUUUUCAUUGUUAGAGAAAAAAUAGAAAAUCAUAGUUUCUUUUAGGCUUUCCCAUUUAAAAUAAAGUGAUACGAGCCUCGUGCAAUAAAAUAUAAUAUUGUGGGGCCCUCAGUAAAGUAAAAAAUACUUAGAAAUUCGGGACGAGCUGUUUAGCGAAUUUCACGGCGAUCCCAAAAAAUAACAAUGCGUUAGUCUUUUUGCGUUAGUCUUUUUAGAUACGAUUUUAAUAAAAUUACAUUCCUAAACUUGGGUGUUCAUUUCAUGCGACCCAAAUCAAAUCCCAAAACUUUGAAUAGAGUUGCUUAGGAUUGCGGGUUCAUUUCAUGUGACGUGAUCCGAAGGCACUCUUCAAACAAUGUUCAACUUUCUUUUGAGAAAUACAUAUUGAAUAAAGGCGGAUAAAAAUAAAAAUUGGCACAUAGGUUCUUCAUAUAAUAAAAUCAGAUAAAUAAGCUACAACAGUUCAGAGGACGUGCUAGAAUCACGGAACUCGGGAAUGCCUAACACCUUCUCCUGGGUUAACAGAAUUCCUUACUCGAAUUUCUGAUUUGCGGACUGUCAAACACGGUCAUAUUUUCCCCAGUUCGAGAUUCAACUGGUGACUUGGGACACCAUUAAUCUCCCAAGUGGCGACUCUAAAAUAUUAAUAACUAAAUUCCAUUCCGAUUAUUCUUUAAUUAAAAAACCUUCUUAAUGCCCUUGCGGGUGUAGUGAAAAAGGAGGUGUGACAGCUUUGGCGACUUUGUUGGGGACUGGACCUAGAAAUUUUGUUCAAGGUUCAGAAUUCGAGCUUAGAUAAAUUGUUGUGUUUGGCUUUAUCUAAUUUUGUUACAUGCUUUGUGCCUAAUAUGCUAAUCGAAUGCUUUUACCGCUUUGAUAAUAUGUGAACUGUAUCUAAACUGUGCCAAAAUUCAUCUCCUCUCUGAGUCUUCUAAAUCAUGAAGAAUGGUGCAUUUCAUGUGACUUCUUUUCUGUAUAGUGUCUAAUUCCCAAUUUAGAACGGGUUUGGAUAGUUGCAAAGCCGGCGCAGCUUCUGUAUUCCCGGUAAGCUGCCUCCCCUUGGCCCGAGCUGUCCGCUCGGGUAAUCCAGGUCUAGAACAAACACCCAUGUUCUGAACCUAGAGUAACUCAACUUCAUGCUGGAUCCCUAGUAGGAACUCUUAUCUGCAUCAUGUGCAUUUUUUACUUAGGGGACUCAACAAAGGGGUUGGGUCCUUCUAGGACUAGCAACCUGGAAUGGAACAGACCAUCUUGAUGCAUCCUAUUUGUGUUAUGUGCAUUUAUUUGUUUCGGACCUGCAUGUUGACCGGCUUCUAAAUCUCGGGAAUAUUGGAAAAUUGAGAAAAGGAGAAAAAGAGAGAAAUAAUGGUAUAAAGAGUUAACUGCUCUUUUUCGAAAGAAAAAACAAUGCCCAAAUACUGUCGAAACUCUGCCUAAAUUUUGAAAAAUGGAAAAGAAAAUAUUUUUUACUCAGAAAAGCAAAAAAAAAAGAAAAAGAAGAAGUUAAAAAGAGUCUUUUGUUUUAGUGUGUCUUGUUUUCAAAAAUGGAAAAGGAAAAAUAGUUUGUUUUGCCAUGAAAAAUGAUAAGGAAAAAGUGUCUUGAUUUUGGUUUUCAAAAUAGCUUAUUUGCCAACGGAGAAGAAAACAUGUUGUUUUCUUGAUUGGUGAAAAAGAAAAAGAAAAAGAGUCUUUUAUUUUUAGUUUGAAAAAAUAGGUUGUUUUCUCGUUUGUUGAAAAAGAAAAAGGAAACGAGUCAUUUAUUUUAUUUUUAGUUUGGAAAAAUAGGUUCUUUUAUUGUUCGUUGAAAAAAAAAGGAAAAAGAGUCUUGUUUUUAAAAGUAGUUUUUUUACUUGAAAUGCCAAAAAUGAAAAUGAAAUAGAGUCAUGUUUUAAAAUAGUUUGGUUAAUUUGCCCGAACUACGCAAGUUUGAUUCUCAUAGGGCGUGAGAUACAUAGGCAAGCCUCAUAGGGUCCAACCUCCCCUUUUGCAAAAAUAGCCAAAAAAUAUCGAAAUUUUAAUUUUCGUCAUAAAUAAGUCGGGCGUGCCAUUUGUGUCAAAAAUAGCCGAAUAUACCCGAAAUAGACGCCGAAAGGCUAACAUUGCAUGAAUGGCCACUUUUGGUCAGGUUUUGAGUUUUGACCCUCACAGCCUUAAAACCUUCGUUCCCGAGGCGCUGAAAGGCGGUGUUUUACAAUAUCGGGUCAUUUAUUUUAAUUUUAAAAACAAGGAAAGAGACAUAAAUAGGUCAGAUGAAGCCAUUCUUGUUAAAAAUAGUCGAAUGUCCCUAAAAGUGCGCUGGAAGGCUGCUUUUGAAAAAACAGUUACCUUUUAGUUAGUUUUCAAGAUUUUGGCCGGAUAGCCAACGUAGCCUUAAAAUCUUCGUUCCCGAUGUGCUGAAAGGCUGUGAUUUGAAACCAGGACUUUUAUUUUAAUUUUUAAAUAAGAAAAGAGUCAGUAGUGAAUACCAUUUGGAAUUUGGUCAAAUAAGCCGAUCCAGCUUCGGCGGCGUCUUAAAUCGUUCUUGCCGAAAUAGCCCUAGAGUAUCUUUCAGUUGUCGAAAGAUAUUUCCGUAAAAGAAUGGAUAAGUUUGUGAAGUUUCAUAAAAUAAUCCUCCACGGCCUCAAAAUUCAUGUGAAAUUGGGAAGGGUCCACAUUUGCAAAAAUAGCCAUUUGGUUAAAAUUGGCAGAUAGGGGAAGGAAUCUGUCAGUUGGUUCUUCAAUUUGUAUUUGUGAGUAGAGUAUGCAGGUUGUUUGAUUUUCGGAUUUGUAUUUCGUUUGAGUCUGUUAGUGUGUUUAAGUUUGUCAGAUUUUAAAUCAUUGUAAUCAAAAUGUGUUUUAGUGUGAAAAUUGAAAGUUCCAGAAUAGGAUUAUUAUUUUUUACCUUUUAUCUACACGAACUACGUUUGCGGAGUCAUGAUACGUAGGUAAUCUCCAUAGGAUUCGACCAUAACCGAAUGAAAAAAUAAGAGCAAAAACAAGAGAGAAAAGGAAAGAAAAAGAGCGAAAAAACAAUAAAGAAAAGAGAGAAAAUAAAACAACCGAGAAAGGGAGAGAAUUGGAAUAAGAGAAAACAAAGGCAAGAGGUAAUAGAAGAAAAAGAAGAAAAAGAGAAGGAUUGCAAUCGGAAAUAAGAAAGGGCCGAGAUGACGCGUGCGACCGAUCGAAUGCGUAAUAGGAACUGUUAACUGCUUAGGUGCAUUCAUUCCCCAAAUGUGUGGUUACCAAUAUGUUAAAUGCACUAGCGCUAACGUGAUGGCCUUAUGUUGUUAAAUUCAUAGCAGAAGGGUGGUUGGCUUGUGGUUCAUAAGGUAACUCAUCCAUACAACACAAGGUCGAAAGCAAGGCAGUCAUGGCUGGCAAAAGGGUUAAACGCAUAUGUUACUGAUCCGUCUAGGGGAAUUGUUAAAUCAGAAUCUGAGUUGAAAGAAACGGUUUUGAGGUUGAAAAGACAGAUAGUCGGAAUGCACAAAGCUUGGACCAUUGGGUAUCCUCCGCUAUCAAUCCCCGAUGCCCAACAUUAUGCUCCAGAACCAAUUGUCAAGGUCUCAAGUCCAUACCAUCACGCUCUUCAUUUUGAGUCUCCCAAUGAGACUAUGAAGCUUGCUAAGACAGUGGAGAAAGAUGAGAUAUCCAGAAAGGUGGAAGGUUUUAAGAUGACGAAGUAUAGUUUGUAUGAUGGGAUGGGAGAUCUAUUAGAGCACCUGAGGGAUUAUUGUAAUAAAACAAGGAAUCUCGGCAAGGAAGAUGAGUUGUUAAUGUAGCAUUUUAGUGAGAGCCUGACUGGGGCAGCUUGGAAUGGCAUGAUUGUCAAGAUGUCGGGAAGUGGAACACGUUGGGCGACAUGGCUCAAUAUUUCGUGCGAUAUUUUCUCUGCAAUAAAGACGUUGUACCAAACCAUUCCUUCCUAUCUUAGAGAAAAGAAACCCAAGGAAAUUUUUAGGGAAUUUUGGGUCAAACAGAACGAACAAGUUGCAAAUGAUAUUCCUUCCGUUGAUAAAAAAGAUAUCAUGGAGCCCCGCCGAUGACCAGGCCUAGUGGUCGUUCCUGCCAAAUGACUUCAACCUCAGCUCCAACCCCAAUCCCGUCCCCAAUCUCCACAUAAUCUACCUCAGCAUUAUCCUUCCAACAAUGACCGGUCAUAUGUCUAACCACCAGGUCAUUCCCUCCACCUGCGACAGGGUCCAGUGGUCAUUCUUGCUAAACCCUCUCAGACUCGACGUCAGCCCCACGGAUAUCCCUGUGCACCAUAUCUUCCACAUCCACAAGGCCCACAAUGGCCCUCACUACGCCCACAAAUGUCUCACCCACCCUCACGAGUCUGCCAGAAAACCCCUGGUUCAGGUUUCCGGCCCAAUCAAGCAUGUAGGGAUAAGAGGUUGCAGAAAAAGAAAGCCUACACUCCAUUGGGAGAGUCAUACGCCAAUCUAUUUCAGAGGCUAAGGAGUUCGGGCGUGUUGAAGCCUAUUCGGAUAAAAAUACCAAACCCUCUUCCAAAGAUGUUUGAUUUUUGCUAAUGGUGCACAUACUGCUCAAAUGCCCCGGGACACGACACAGAAAAGUGUUGGAGGCUGAAGAAAGCAAUUCAGGAGCUUAUUGAUGUAGGUGGCAUUGUUAUUCCAAAUCCAAACGCAGCAUACACAAGCCAAUGUCCAUCGCAUGUGCAAAAUGAGACGCACAUGGCAGAUAUGAUUUACUUGGAAAAGACAUUUGAAGUUCUUAGUAUUGUUGAUGUAGAAUUCAGUGGCUAAGAUACCAUGCUUGGUAAUUGGGAAGACGCUCUUUUCUUGGUCAGCCGGCGGAGUCUUGAUGGUUCAUAUUGUUGUCAUUUCUGUUGUCCGGGUUACUUGUAGGGUUGUGAUCCAGAUAUUGUCUUGUGACUUAAACCUUCUUAUCCUUUCAUUUUGUCUGGCUUGUUUGGUCGUAGUGGUUUGUUUAGUGUUGGCCAGGUUUUUUGCAGGUUCAUUCUAGGGUUGUACUCCAGUUUGUUUUGUUUGUUUUUGUCAUUUGAACUGUUUCAUUGUUUUUCUCAUGCAAAUUCCUAUCUUUUGUUACUCCCAAUCAUUUUCUUUGUUUUGUUUGUUUCUAUCCUCUUGUUUUGUCUUUCGCUGGUACUAGUGACAUGACAUGCACGCAUAAUUCUUAGUCUGAUCUUUAAAAGUUACGUUAGUCGGGAAGCAAUGAAACCAUUUUGAAGACAAUGGGGGCACUUGACGAAAUAAGAACAGAUUUGGAUGUUUUGAGAUAAUUUGAUGCCCAAACCAUGUGAAACUAGGUCAAAUAGAACAUAAAAAAAGGUAAAAGCCAUUUGGCCAAAUUAACAGGGGGCCGGUCGUGGUAAUAAGAGUAAGAGUGUUGGUCAACGGCACACUAUAUUUGACAGAUGUAGAAGAAAACAUGUGGAAAUGACUGUCAAUUCCGAUGCAGUCAAGAUAUAUUGUGUUUGGUUUCUUUGUUUUGAUCGUAUUUGUUUUGUAUUUGGCGUAUUUUGAAGUUUGAAAUGACGAAUGUAUUUUGUUCUACUAUGUAAACACUUUACCCCUUUGUCACCCCCUUUGAGCCUUAUUUAUUUUCUUUCAUACCCUAUUUCGGAAUCAAUGACACAAUUAAGAAGUGCAAGUACCGAAAGAAAAGAGAAAGAAGGAAAAAAAGAAAAGAGAAAAAAAGGAAAGAAAGAAAGAAAGAAAGAGAAAAGAGAAGGAAAAGGAAAAAAGGGAGAAAAAGAAAAGAAGAACAUAAAAAAAGAAGAGAAAGAAAAUCACAAAAACAAAGUAAAUUUUAUGACGUGAAAUAUGUUUGAUUUGAUCACGAAAGGGUAGCUAGGUAGCCUCUUUGAGGUUCAGUCUCAUCGAAAUAAAGAUCCAAAAGUCCCCAAGCAAGAAACUGGGGCAGAAGUUGUGAUUUUUUAAAGAAAUUGGAUUCCAAAAUUUGUAAUUUUAACCCAUUUUGAAAUUGUUUUGAGCCUUUUAUACCCUUUUUUCUAACCCCAUCCAAAAGCCACAUUACGGUCUAAAUAAAGACCUUUCGAUCAGUCUUUGAGCAUUUCCAAGUCAUGCAAUCAGAGGUGAAUCAUAUCAGGUGAAACACUCUGGUCCAAACAAGGAAAAUGGAAAAAUGAGAAUGUCUUGUUGGUGAAAACCCUCACCAACAAGAUUGGAGAAAAGAGAGCAACAACAUGGUUUCUUCAACUUUUUAAUUUUCCAUCUCAUUAGUAUUAUUCUAUGUAAUAUAAUCACAGAGCAUGUAAUAAACUCUGUGAUGAUCAUACUUUUCUUAGUUCUUGCUACUUCUUUUUUUUUACUUGCUUGUUAGAUCUUGAGGAUUUUAUUGGCCUCAACAGGAUUAAUAAGGUAAGGUUUACGCCGGUUGUUGUUAUAUGGGUAACAAUACCGGUGCUAGUCUCCCCUUAUCUUAUUUUUCCUGUUUGUUGUAAUUUUAAAUUUCUUUUUAUUAAUGAAAAGUAGCCGUAAGUGCUCGCCUAGUGGAUUGCCAAAAAAACCUCACAGGAACCGUAAGGCAAUGAAAACUGAGUGAAAUAAUAAAUGAGAGAGUCUUAUUGGUGAAAACCUUCACACGCACCUUGAGACAAUGGUAAGUUGAGAAAAAGAACAAAUGAGAAAGGCUUGAUGUCGAAAACCCUUCGGGCACAACAAGUCAAAUAAGGACUUUAAAUCAAAUUGGACAAGCAGAGCAUUAAAGCUCAGUUUCGCAACGAAAGAGCUGAACGUCAGGUUUAAUUGGCGGAAUGUCUGCAGGUGCAUGUCAUGGUCAUUAAAGUUGGUUUCAACAUCCGAUAGGUUUCCACUUUGUAGUUUUCUCUUUAGGAAUCAUCUCUUUCCUCUGUCCUCCCCUCCGUCCCUCUGUUUUGUUCACUUCCUCUUUCUGAGUCUGUUUUGAUAUAACAAGUGAGAAAUGACUUCAAAAUUCACCACCAGCUUUCCAACUGCACAAAUUGGAGUUUGGCUAGCAUAUCAAAGUAUCACAAGUCCAGAAAACAACAAAGGCAUCGGGCUGGUAAUAAUCAAUAUACUUUAGGGAUCCUGGUGAAACACAAAAGUUUGGUAGAUGCCGAUUCAGAAGUAAUGCAACAGUUAGAGGGUAUUGGGUUUGAACGAAAAAUAGAUAUUCUCUGUGACAAGGGUCAAGCGAAAGAGCAAUAGACUUCAAGGUCAGGGGCCAGAGGGCUCAAUUUUGAAGAACAACGUAAUGUGGGUGGAAAUCAACAUGCUUUGGGUUGAGGCACAAAGGUUGGUUAAAGUCAGUACAGAAGCAGUGAAACAAACAAAUGCUAAAGGGUUUUGAAUGCAGAAGAGGUAUGUUUUGUGAUAAUAAGGAAAAAGGAAGUGGUUAAAAAAACAAGCGGGGUUUUCAAAUGGAAAUGAAAGUUAUCAGCAAGUAAGGGAACAACGGACCUCCAGGACAAGGCCAUCGGAUAAGCCAAGAAACAAAAACAUAGAGCAGAGACUGAUGGACGUAAUUUGGAAAUUCAUAUAAGACUGAAAGAUCAGGAAUAUGCCAGUUCACUAGCAAUGCCCCAAAAAGAAGAUAUUGGAUCUGAACAGGAAAAAGGGUAUUUCGGUGACACCGAUGCGAAGAAAGUGGUUAAUCAGUAAACAUGCAAGAUCUUCAAGAAGAAUCAACUGUCAUAGAAAACAUAUGGGGUCGGAUAAGAAGACUAGAAGUAAUAAUUGAGAGGUAGUCGUCAAGAAGGGCGGAAGUUAUCAGCCAAGUUUCAAAGAUGGUCGGAAAAACGUGGAGCAUGGGAAGGUGAAAAGGAAAGCCCUCCCAAGCAGGAGAACCGCAACCAACCACCAUGUUUUAAACUAAUAAAAUCUUCUUUGAUUUAAAGUAGGAACAGGAAAUGUUAUUGAUGGCAGAAAAUAUGCCACAAGGAAGAUUAUCAAAUUGAGGCAGAAAUUUUUUUGUCGUUUUAAAAUUUUUCUUAAAGGCGGGUACCAAUCUAAAGAAUGUAAGUUAACUCAAGUGAGGGAGAGAAAGAUAACACAGGUUUUUAGGAAGUAAUUUUUGAAGUUAGGAGCCCGUCCAUAUAGCAGAGGAAUACAUUUCAGUCUUUAAAUUUUUAAGUUUUGAAGUUGGGAGCCCACCCAUAUAACGAGAGAAUAAAUUUCAGUCUUUAAAUUUUUAAGUUUUUAAGUUGGGAGCACGCCCAUACAGCAGGAGAAUACAUUUUUAUGUUAUGAAGUUGGGAACACGCCCAUAUAACAAGGGAAUACAUAUUAGUCUUUAAAUUUUAUGUUUUGAAGUUGGGAGACCGCCCAUAUAACAAGGGAAUAUAUUUCAGUCUUUAAAUUUGAAGUUUUGAAGUUGGGAGCCCGCCCGUAUAACAAGGGAAUAUAUUUCAGUCUUUAAGUUUUAAGUUUUGAAGGUGGGAGCUCGUCCAUAUAACAAGGAAAUACAUUUCAAUCUUUAAAAUUUAAGUUUUGAAGUUGGGAGUCCGCCCAUAUAACAAGGGAAUACAUUUCAUUCUUUAAAAUUUUAAGUUUUGAAGUUGGGAGCCCGCCUAUAUAACAAUGGAAUACAUUUCAGUCUUGAAAUUCUUAAGUGUUGAAGUUGAGAGCCCGCAUAUAUAACAAAGGAAUACAUUUCAGUCUUUGAAUUUUAAGUUUUGAAGUUGGGAGCCCGCCCAUAUAAAAAGGAAAUACAUUUUAGUCUUUGAAUUUUAAGUUUUGAAGUUGGGAGCCCGCCCAUAUAACAAGGGAAUACAUUUCAGUCUUUGAAUAAUAACAAGGGAAUAAAUUUCAAUCUUUAAAUUUAUAAGUUUUUGAAGUUGGGAGCCCGCCCAUAUAACAAGGGAAUACAUUUUUAUGUUUUGAAGUUGGCAGCCCGCCCAUAUAAUAAGGGAAUACAUUUCAGUCUUUAAAUUUUAAGUUUUGAAGUUGGUAGCCCCCCCAUAUAACAAGGGAAUACAUUUCAUUCUUUAAUUUUUAACUUUUGAAUUUUGGAGCCCGCCCAUAUAACAAGGAAAUAUAUUUCAUUCUUUAAAUUUGAAGUUUUGAAGUUGGGAGUCUACCCAUAUAAUAAGGGAAUACAUUUCACUCUUUAAAUUUUAAGUUUUGAAGUUGGGAGCCCGCCCAUAUAACAAGGGAAUACAUUUCAGUCUUUGAAUUUUAUGUUUUGAAGUUGGGAUCCCGCCCAUAUAAUAAGGGAAUACAUUUCAGUCUUUGAAUUAUAAGUGUCGAACUUGGGGGCCCGCCCAUUUAACAAUGCAAUACAUUUCAGCUUUUAAAUUUUAAGUUUUGAAGUUGGAAGCCCGCCCAUAUAACAAGGGAAUACAUUUCAGCUUUUAAAUUUUAAGUUUUGAAGUUGGGAGCCCGCCCAUAUAACAAGGUUUCAGUUUUUAAAUUUUACGUUUUGAAGUUUGGAGCCCGCCAAUAUAAUAAUCGAAUACAUUUAAGUCUUUAAAUUAUUAAGUGUUGGUUGGGAGCCCGCCCAUAUAACAAGUGAAUAUAUUUUAGUCUUUGAAUUUUAAGUUUUGAAGUUGGAAGUCCGCCCAUAUAACAAGUGAAUAUAUAUUAGUCUUUGAAUUUUAAGUUUUGAAGUUGGGAGCCCGCCCAUAUAACAAGGGAAUACAUUUCAGUCUUUAAAGUUUAAAGUUUGAAGUUGAGAGCCCGCCCAUAUAACAAUGCUAUACAUUUCAGUCCUUAAAUUUUAAGUUUUGAAGUUGGGAGCCCGCCCAUAUAAUAAGGGAAUACAUUUCAGUCUUUAAAUUUUAUGUUUUGAAGUUGGGAGCCCGCCGAUAUAACAAGGGAAUACAUUUUAGUUUUUAAACUUUAAGUUUUGAAGUUUGGAGCCCGCCCAAAUAACAAGGAAAUACAUUUCAGUCUUUUAAAUUUUAAAUUUUGAAGUUGGGAGCCCGCCAUAUAACAAAGGAAUAUAUUUCAGUGUUUAAAUUUUAUAUUUUGAAGUUGGGGUCCGCCCAUAUAAAAAGGAAAUACAUUUUAGUCAUUAAAUUUUAAGUUUUGAAGCUUCGAGCCCGCCCAUAUAAUAGAGUAAUACAUUUUAGUCUUUAAAUUUUAAGUUUUGAAGUUGGGAUCCCGCCCAUAUAACAAGUGAAUACAUUUCAGUCUUUACAUUUUUAAGCUUUGAAGUUGGAAGCCUGCCCAUAUAACAAAGGAAUACAUUUGAGUCUUUACAUUUGUAAAGUUUUGAAGUUGGAAGCCCUCCCAUAUAAUAGAAGAAUACAUUCAAGUUCAAGUUUAGAAAUCAGGUAUCACAAUUCAAGUUUUAUUUUUUAAUUCUUAUUAAUAUAUGGUAAUAAGCACCCUGUUUUCCAAACUGGGGCAUAAAGUUUUUCUUUGUUUUGUCUAUUUUUGUUAUGUCGGGAGCUUGAAGUUCAAAUCCAGCAGUCGGGAGCCCACCCGCAUAACAAGGGAAUACAUUCAAGUCCAAGUUCAGAAGUUGGGAGCCCACCCACACAACAAUGGAAUGCAUUCAAGUUCAGAAAUUUGAAGAAAAAGAACUACAUCUCAGUUUGCAAAUUGGAAAUGGCAAUAAUGGAUUUUAUCAAGAGAACACAAGACAAUAAGGAAACAAGGAAGUACAAGAGCAAGUUUGAAGAAUUUCGAUAGGACCUUCGUAAUUCAUAGUUCAUAGCUUAGGCUAGCUUCUUUUUAUUUUGACAUGGUGUAAUAAGGGAGGUCAGCAAGCAGUAGCAGCAGCAAUCGUAGUGAAAUCACAGCUCCUGGUAGUCCCAGCUACCAGACACUCCCAAAUUACACUGACCAGAUUCCUGUUCAGCUCUGGAUAUGUUAGGCAACCUCUGAAGCAGGGUGCGGUCAAAACUUUUCAGAAAUUCUUCACAGGGAAUAUUCAAACGGGAAAAAAUUGCUCGUAUUUACUCACUUAUCUUUACCUGAAAAUCUUUCAUGUUUUCAAGCAAAGAGGGGCAGCUGUGAGCACGUGAUUCAAACAAAAUAAUUUCUUUAUUAUUUUUACAAUUUUUGUGAAUUUUGUGAUAUUUUUUGAUAAUUGUUGCAUUUUAUUUGUGCAUUUUAAUUCAUAUGAAAAAUACAAAAAAAUAUAUUUGAAUCUAGGAUUUCAUUUCAUAUUUUAGUAUCAAUUAGGGUUAAUUUUUUUAGAACAAAAUAUGAAGAAAAUAACAAAAAUAGUUCGCUUUUGUAUUUUUAGUUAUUUAAUUGUGAACUCGUCCCGAAAUAGUCUUUAAAAAAAUAAUUUUAAGAAUUAAAGAGUUUAAUUUUGGAAUGUAAUAGGAUUUUUUUAUUUUAGUUUUUGCAUCUUUAUAAAAUUAAAAAAUACUACAAAAAUACAAAUUGAAAAAAAAACAAAAGAAAAUAAAAGGAAAUAAAAGGAAAAUAUUAUUAGAAGUGUGGUCUUAUGUAAAGGCCCAAAUUGGGAUGUCCCUAUUGAAAAUCCGCUGGCCUAAUUUGUUGUCAACCAAACCGACCCAAUUAGUCCCCCUACCCGGUCCAGUUAUUCACUACCCAAAUGACAGCAUUUAAUUUCAUUCAAUCUAAGCCAUCCACUGAUAUCAUCCAACGACCACAGUUCCUCCUCAAGAUUUUAAUAAAACUGUCUGAAUUUCCCUUAACCCUAAACGACCAACAUCUCCUUCCUCGUAUCUCUCUCUAACUCCGCCGGCGAAGUCGCCACUGGCGAACGCCACCUACGCUAACGGCCACCAAAAUUACACACCGAUUCUCCUUAUUCCCCUCUUUCCAUUACUACCCUUGGUUUCCCUCGAAUCUUUCCGGAGCUCGUCGAAUCUUCGUUGGAAGUUUUCAAUCCACGAUUCUACUUCGUCCAAAUACCUCCAAAUCAACACCAUAGAUCCUCUUCACCACCCUCAUCCCAAAACACCAAUUGAUUUUCUUCAAAUCCUACUGUAACUCCUCAUAGUGAAUUGGUCAUCAAUCGAGCUUUGUUUCUGCCAGAGUUGGUCGUGUUCUAAUUUGGAAAUCUGACCAGAGUCUCGACGUGAGUCAGUGAGUUUCUUAGUUUAUUUUUGUAUUUUUCCUUCCAUGUUAGCUUUAUGUUAGUAAUGAAUUAGGAUUCAGUAUUAGGUAUCUAGGUUUAAUAAUUGAAGUUGCUCUUAUUUAGAUUUUGGUCAAAGUUAUGCUAACUGUUAGUUUCGUCAUUAGUUAAGCAUUAAUCAUGUUCAUUGUUUAGUUUAGUUUACAUCUUUAUGAUCCGUUUCUUCAAAUUGAUAAAUAGAAGUUUGUGUUGGUAAGUUUAAUUCUCAUUUUAAUUGAUUAAUUGUUUCACUUUGAUUUAGUUGUCAAGAGUAGUUCCCUAAUAGGUUAAAUUGUUCUUUAAUUUUUUAAGGUUGUUUCAAUUUGAUUACAUACGGUCAACUGAUUAGUUGUUUUGAUUGUUGAUGGUAAUUGAUAAUUCAAAGUUUAAUAGUUAGUUUCGGGUUAGGAUUUGAGUUUGAACCUAGUGUUAGCUGAUUAAACUUACUGAUUGGUUGCUUAAAUAGGGUCAGACAAUAAGGUCGGGGUGGGUUAGUAACUUCAGGUUAAUGAAAAGGGUAAUUUAGGGAGACUCACUACGGGACUGAAUUUAGAAGCUACUAGAGGAUCCUAGAAAGGGUGUUAGUUAAAAUUUCAGAUUCAUAGUUUGUUUACUUGUGUAAAAAGUUAAUAAUUAAGGGACUAAUUGGAUAAAUAGAUAGGGACUAAGAAGAAAACAAAACGCUGAAGGCUGCUCAUUGGUGCCUAUAAAGGCAUCAGAAUAGCCUUGAAUACGGGUCUUCUUUUUCAGCCCAAAAUGCCCUCCAGAAUCCUACUUCAAUUUCACAUCUGAAAAUUUCAAUUGGAAUUCAAAGUCCCUUUUAGAUCUCAGCCUUUUUAGAAGAAAAAUCAGAAAAGCAAUCAAAAGAUAUAGAAAGAUGAAAACUCAAAAAAAAACUUUACUGUUCCAUUGAAAUUGGAAGUUGAUUUCAAUUUUUGGUUACUGAUUCACCUUCUGCAAUUGUUACUUCUGUCUGUUGAAGUGUAGAGGUUCAUUUGGAGUUUAAGUUAGUGUUCUAAAUCUGGUCAUUGGUAUUCAUUUCUGGGUCGUUAGCUGCUGUGUGGAGUUCAUUUACUGGUUUUCCUUUAGAUUUGAAUGACUCCUGAACUGCUGGUCAUUGCUGUUGAAUCUGCUGCUGUUGAAUAGUUUAUUUCAGUAAAUUUGACCUCUUUUUCUUCUUCUUUUAAACAUUGAAUUCCAGGUACACAUUUCGAAUCACCUCGAUGUAAGUUGAAUUGGAAGUGUGCACCAGACCUGCAUUUGGUGUUAUCUGUUGUCUCUGAUUCAAUAAAUGUUAAAUGAAAUAGAAGUAGUUCAUAUUAGCUCUGGUUUAUAUUGUGCUAAAUAAUAGAAAUGUGACUGUGUAAUUGGAACUUCCUUAGGCGGAUUUGGACUGUGUCAGUUAUUAUUGGUAACAGACUGUUAAAUCAUCCAGGAAACUUAUGUUCAGUAGCUAGUCGAACCAUUAAUUUUCAUUAGCUAUAAUUAGUUUAGUGUGUUUGUUCUGUUUAAACUUUCAAAGUUAGAAAAUAACUUGACUUAGCAUUCUCCUUUUGAAUAUGUGAAAUUGUGCUUGCAUCAAUAGUUGUUGAUUGAAUUGGUAAUAACAGGCACGCAAAUGUCGAGCUAGGACGUUUUUGUAUGGCAGUAGUUACCAGAUAUUUAAUGAACUGUUAAUUGAUUCAUGUUUUCCUAGUCGAAUUCAAAACCAAUGGGUGUUUAGGUCGUUGAUUAACGUUGGAAUUGAUAAAUCAUAGUUGAUAUUGCUAAUUGUUGGUGGGAAGCAUUACUGAAAUCAAGCACGAUUAGUUUGUCUUUUUUCACGUAAAAGGUUGAACAUAGUUAUUCUGCCCAGCUAAUGUAAAUUGCAUUUUUUUUAGUUUGAAACUCUGUGAUUUCAAUUGUCCUUGUCAAUUUCAAAUGAAGUGGAUAAUAGUUAGCAGCCAAUUAAAUCGUGGGUCUGUUAGCUUCAGGGGAUAGAUCAUUUGAUCUCCCUAGGCAGCCUAUUUUGCUUUGUCCUUUCGGGCUUCCUCGAGGCCCACUUGUUGCAAUUAAUUCACAUACAGAACCAUUUGGUAACUAAGUUGGGCUUGUUUCAGA
RNAcentral lists this long non-coding RNA (15690 nucleotides) under Nicotiana benthamiana. Its description in RNAcentral is "long non-coding RNA (NBEN_LNC032057)". Lineage: Eukaryota; Viridiplantae; Streptophyta; Magnoliopsida; Solanales; Solanaceae. The record is from RNAcentral.